CCUACGGGUGGCAGCAGUGGGGAAUAUUGGACAAUGGGGGGAACCCUGAUCCAGCCAUGCCGCGUGUGUGAAGAAGGCCCUCGGGUUGUAAAGCACUUUCAGUGAGGAAGAACGCCUGGUGGUUAAUACCCAUCAGGAAAGACAUCACUCACAGAAGAAGCACCGGCUAACUCCGUGCCAGCAGCCGCGGUAAUACGGAGGGUGCGAGCGUUAAUCGGAAUUACUGGGCGUAAAGCGCGCGUAGGUGGCUUGAUAAGCCGGUUGUGAAAGCCCCGGGCUCAACCUGGGAACGGCAUCCGGAACUGUCAAGCUAGAGUGCAGGAGAGGAAGGUAGAAUUCUCGGUGUAGCGGUGAAAUGCGUAGAGAUCGGGAGGAAUACCAGUGGCGAAGGCGGCCUUCUGGACUGACACUGACACUGAGGUGCGAAAGCGUGGGUAGCAAACAGGAUUAGAUACCCUGGUAGUC
Molecule: ribosomal RNA, 465 nt
Filed under: Vreelandella stevensii
Lineage: Bacteria; Pseudomonadati; Pseudomonadota; Gammaproteobacteria; Oceanospirillales; Halomonadaceae
Description: partial 16S ribosomal RNA
Rfam family: Bacterial small subunit ribosomal RNA
Source: RNAcentral